GAUUUGAAUUAAAGGAAGACAUGCGAAACAGGCAGUUUUGUACCUAUUUUCAGAAAGCACCGGAUAAUCUGUGAUUUCUGCCCAAGCAAGGAUGAGGAAGAUGUGGCCAUCCAAGUGUUGGUAGGCCACACCUAUCAUCCAUCAUGAUGCUGCUUGACAUCCAACAUCUAGACUACCAUACAUUCCCUCAUCCUGGUCCCUGGGCAUUUAAGCUACCAUGGAAUUCUAUUGAAUACUAAUAAGUCUGAUUUCUCCCCCAGUGUUAUCUAUAAUGCAGUCACUGUUAAAUUGCUUUUUUCACACAUCUUUGUGACCUCAUUUGACAUGAUGAUGUCACUGUCAAGCACAGAGGGGGGAAGGUACUAGCAAGAGGCACGUAGAUGGCAGACUUCUGAGAUCUUUAUGGAUCUACAGCAGCAGCCAACUGUUGCUUAUUUUUAUCUUUCCUCCCCGACCCCUGCCUAGCAGUCUGGCAGCACAACUGGGAGAAUGAAAUGGCUUAGACUGAAGUUAUUUUGGGAGCAAUUAAUUUAUAAAGUGUCUGAAGUAUGUGCUGCUCUUGAAGGCAGGAACAAAUAUUUACAUCCUGCCAACCAUAACAUCAAGCUUUCGGAAUGCCUUCUGAAUUUGAUACUUGGGAGAGAAUUAUCUAUUAUCAGUGUUCUUUCUUGGACAAUACAUGCUCAUCUACAACAAUGGCAGAAGAAGCAAGUUCCGGGGAUGGUCCAUUGCCAUCUACUACCAUGGCCACAUUGGGACUUACCUCUUCCGUUGCAUUUUUGACAACUAGCGAUCAAGAUGGACAGGACGCUGACACCUCAUUAGCAGAAGCAGAGGGUUCUGAAGUGGGAAGCACCACCACUACAGAACCCACUGAUAUGCAAUCAGCAGGCUUGCAUCCGGCUGUGAUGUUUGGCGUCCCUGCAGCGCUGCUCUCCAUCUUGUUAGUUCUGCUGGUCAUCUUUAUUGUCAGACGCCGGAACCAGAAGCAAUCUAAACAAGGUAAUUCUUGGCAUGCCUUGGGUAAUGCUGCAUGGAUCUUUAUGGGAAAGGCAAAGUUUGGACAAGUUACAUUUUUUGACUCCA
RNAcentral lists this long non-coding RNA (1086 nucleotides) under Pogona vitticeps (central bearded dragon). RNAcentral's name for it is "lncRNA (ENSPVIG00000019581.1)". The record is from RNAcentral. Lineage: Eukaryota; Metazoa; Chordata; Lepidosauria; Squamata; Agamidae.